This 79-nucleotide transfer RNA is filed under the name Brachyspira hyodysenteriae WA1. Its description in RNAcentral is "tRNA-Arg". The record is from RNAcentral. Lineage: Bacteria; Pseudomonadati; Spirochaetota; Spirochaetia; Brachyspirales; Brachyspiraceae.
UAUGCGCGCCAGACAGGAAUCGAACCUGUAACCUACUGCUUAGAAGGCAGUUGCUCUAUCCAAUUGAGCUACUAGCGCA